Molecule: ribosomal RNA, 372 nt
Filed under: uncultured organism
Description: partial 16S ribosomal RNA
Rfam family: Bacterial small subunit ribosomal RNA
Source: RNAcentral
GUAGGUGGCAAGCGUUGUCCGGAAUUAUUGGGCGUAAAGCGCGCGCAGGCGGUUCUUUAAGUCUGAUGUGAAAGCCCACGGGCUCAACCGUGGAGGGUCAUUGGAAACUGGAGAACUUGAGUACAGAAGAGGAAAGCGGAAUUCCACGUGUAGCGGUGAAAUGCGUAGAGAUGUGGAGGAACACCAGUGGCGAAGGCGGCUUUCUGGUCUGUAACUGACGCUGAGGCGCGAAAGCGUGGGGAGCAAACAGGAUUAGAUACCCUGGUAGUCCACGCCGUAACCGAUGAGUGCUAAGUGUUAGGGGGUUUCCGCCCCUUAGUGCUGCAGCUAACGCAUUAAGCACUCCGCCUGGGGAGUACGGCCGCAAGGCUG